UGGGGAAUCUUGGACAAUGGGCGCAAGCCUGAUCCAGCCAUGCCGCGUGGAUGAUGAAGGCCUUAGGGUUGUAAAAUCCUUUCGUGGGGGACGAUAAUGACGGUACCCCAAGAAGAAGCUCCGGCUAACUUCGUGCCAGCAGCCGCGGUAAUACGAAGGGGGCUAGCGUUGUUCGGAUUUACUGGGCGUAAAGCGCGUGUAGGCGGGUCGUUAAGUUGGGGGUGAAAGCCCUUGGCUCAACCAAGGAACUGCGUCCGAUACUGUACGGCUUGAGGCUGGUAGGGGGUAGCGGAAUUCCCGGUGUAGCGGUGGAAUGCGUAGAUAUCGGGAGGAACACCGAUGGCGAAAGCGGCUACCUGGGCCAGAUCUGACGCUGAGGCGCGAAAGCUAGGGUAGCAAACGGGAUUAGAUACCCCAGUAGUCCCUGAGCGGGCUGGCAAGGCGCAU
Molecule: ribosomal RNA, 447 nt
Filed under: uncultured bacterium
Lineage: Bacteria
Description: bacterial SSU rRNA
Rfam family: Bacterial small subunit ribosomal RNA
Source: RNAcentral